Molecule: long non-coding RNA, 153 nt
Organism: Xyrauchen texanus (razorback sucker)
Lineage: Eukaryota; Metazoa; Chordata; Actinopteri; Cypriniformes; Catostomidae
Exons: 3
Source: RefSeq, a predicted model, not a curated record
CCGACUUUCGAGGCAAAUGAUCGUCACCAUGCAUAAAACCAAUCAGGCGUUCGGCCCUGCUCAGGAACGAGCUGGUCGGUGGGCCGGACGCCAGGUUCUUUUUCUUUACCUCCACGCCCAAUCCCUGCAAAAAUUUGAACAGCUACUUCCAGG